This is a small nuclear RNA of Gorilla gorilla gorilla (western lowland gorilla), 106 nucleotides long. The record is from Ensembl. Lineage: Eukaryota; Metazoa; Chordata; Mammalia; Primates; Hominidae.
GUGCUUGCUUUGGCAGCACAUAUACUAAAAUUGGAAUGAUACAGAGAAGAUCAGCAUGGCCCCUGUGCAAGGAUGCACACAAAUUCGUGAAGCAUUCCAUAUUUUU